Molecule: ribosomal RNA, 263 nt
Filed under: uncultured bacterium
Lineage: Bacteria
Description: partial 16S ribosomal RNA
Rfam family: Bacterial small subunit ribosomal RNA
Source: RNAcentral
GUCCAUGCCGUAAACGAUGUCAACUAGGUGUUGGGGAACUUGAUUCCUUAGUGCCGCAGCUAACGCAUUAAGUUGACCGCCUGGGGAGUACGGUCGCAAGACUAAAACUCAAAUGAAUUGACGGGGGCCCGCACAAGCGGUGGAGCAUGUGGUUUAAUUCGAUGCAACGCGAAGAACCUUACCUACUCUUGACAUCCAGAGAAUCCUGUAGAGAUACGGGAGUGCCUUCGGGAAUUCUGAGACAGGUGCUGCAUGGCUGUCGU